GACGGAGGAUGCAAGUGUUAUCCGGAAUCACUGGGCGUAAAGCGUCUGUAGGUGGUUCGAAAAGUCCACUGUUAAAAAUUGAGGCUUAACUUCAAAGAUGCCGUGGAAACUUUCAAACUAGAGUAUGGUAGGGGUAGAGGGAAUUUCCAGUGGAGCGGUGAAAUGCGUAGAUAUUGGAAAGACCACCGAUGGCGAAGGCACUCUGCUGGGCCGACACUGACACUGAGAGACGAAAGCUAGGGGAGCGAAUGGG
This 253-nucleotide ribosomal RNA is filed under the name uncultured bacterium. RNAcentral's name for it is "partial 16S ribosomal RNA". It matches the Rfam family "Bacterial small subunit ribosomal RNA", at positions 524 to 776 of the family's 1533-position model. The record is from RNAcentral.